CAAGACCUUGCGCUCUUAGAGCGGCCGAUGUCUGAUUAGCUAGUUGGUGAGGUAAAGGCUUACCAAGGCGACGAUCAGUAGCUGGUCUGAGAGGACGACCAGCCACACUGGGACUGAGACACGGCCCAGACUCCUACGGGAGGCAGCAGCGGGGAAUUUUGGGCAAUGGGGGAAACCCUGAUCCAGCCAUGCCGUGUGAGUGAAGAAGGCCUUCGGGUUGUAAAGCUCUUUCAGUUGAGAAGAGAAGGUUGUGGUUAAUACUCACAAUCCAUGACGGUAUCGACAGAGGAAGCACCGGCUAACUACGUGCCAGCAGCCGCGGUAAUACGUAGGGUGCGAGCGUUAAUCGGAAUUACUGGGCGUAAAGCGUGCGCAGGCGGUUUUGUAAGUCAGAUGUGAAAUCCCCGGGCUUGACCUGGGAACU
RNAcentral lists this ribosomal RNA (424 nucleotides) under uncultured Nitrosospira sp. Its description in RNAcentral is "bacterial SSU rRNA". It matches the Rfam family "Bacterial small subunit ribosomal RNA", at positions 207 to 622 of the family's 1533-position model. Lineage: Bacteria; Pseudomonadati; Pseudomonadota; Betaproteobacteria; Nitrosomonadales; Nitrosomonadaceae. The record is from RNAcentral.